This 2410-nucleotide long non-coding RNA is filed under the name Homo sapiens (human). RNAcentral describes it as "HSALNT0398408". The record is from RNAcentral. Lineage: Eukaryota; Metazoa; Chordata; Mammalia; Primates; Hominidae.
AGUGAUUCUCCUGCGUCAGCCUCCCGAGUAGCUGGGACUACAGGCCCUGCAGAUCAAGCAGUGGGUACCGCGGCUGCUCUGGCUUCUCCUGGAAUCUCAGGUGCUCCCUCUUGUGGCUGUUCUCAGCCUAGACAACCAGAAAGCCGCAGAAAAGCACCAGCCAAGGCCGAGGCUGCGAGGGUGCUGGCGGGCAGGCCCAUCACGGGGCUGGCUGUCCUGGUCCGCGAUUCCUUGUCAGCCAUUUUCCUCAGGGGGAGCGGCAAACGCCAACCUGGACUGAACUCAUCUGGGGACAACCCUGGCUUGGAGGAGGGUCAUGUGGCUAUUUGCAGACUUUACUUCUCUUACUGUGAACACCCAUGUGCUCUGCUGCCUAAAACAUAACAUGUUUGACAAUGUGAUGCGGCCCAGACCUACCAUGGAUGCCAUGUCACGUACGUACUAUGCAUCCGACAACAGGGCCAGGAAGCAGAAGGUUCCGGAACACGACUUUCCCAGAGAGCUCAGAUAAGAACCCGUGGGCAUGUCAGCUCAUUCAGUCCUCAUGACCCCCUCCGCCCACCAUGAGGAAGGUCCAUUCUUUCUUCCUCAUUUAACAGAUGAGGAAAUGAAGGCACAGAGAGGUUAAGAAGCUUGUUCUCGGUCACACAGCUAGGACAGAGGUGGAUUUGAACCCAGGCAGUAUGGCUGGGGUUACCAUCCUGGCCUUUUUGAACAUGUCCGGGAGGGCAGGCCCUACCCAGCCACACAAUGCCCAGUAACUCCUGCGGGUGACCUGCCCUGCCUCGUGGAGACUCCGUUAUAUCUGGGCCACCAAGGCAGGGGUUAGAGGUCUGUGUGAGCCCAGCACUGAGGUUCUCUCUGGGUUGAACCCACCUCAGAGAUGUGCCUUGGGCAGGCCUGGCCUUCUGUAGAAGCUGUGAGGGUGAAGGUCUCCAGCCCUUAAAGAACUCUCCCCAACAAAAAAAACAGUCUCCUUCCCAGCUUGGGGCACUAUGUGCUCGGCUGUGGCAGCUCCGUCUGUUCUUCCCCGCCUGCCCCCGGGCACCCGCAGGGGCGCCCAUCAACUCAGGCAGCUCAAGCUGCAAGGAACAAAAGCUUCCCUCCAGGAGCCGGAGCUUGAGACUUCGCCCAGGUGGGGAGGAAGACGCAGCGAGACCUAAGCCUUCUUCCUCAGUUUUGUGUGGCAGCAAAGCUGGGUUCUGUGCUGGCGGUGGGCUCAGCACAAAUGCCCCUCCGCAUCACCCCACUUACAUCUGCAAUCCCCGGGCCCCCGUGGCCGCCCCCCCCACUUGCUUUGCUCCAAGGCACUUGGCACCUUCCAACAACCUAGAGCACAGAAGGACCUGCGCUGCUGGGGUCUCCCCCUCCCUCUCUGGACACUGAGCCUGAUGGGGCAGGGGUCUGUGUUCCCAGCGCGAACCCCCGGCAAAGUCCCAUACAGGGGGAGCUCAGGCAGGGUCAGCGGAGGGACCUGCGCCUGAAUCCCGAAGUUCCACUCUGACUCACACAGCCUGGGCCCCCAGCUCUGACAUGCCCCCUCUGAUGGGGGGCGUCUCAGCCCCAUUCCAUCCUCCUGCAGCUGAUGCACCUCCCAGCUUUCGGAGUGACUCCCUUCUUUCAAAUCCGAUGUCCCUGUCCUGCUCCUGCCAAAUCUGGCCCCCUCCAACGUGGUACCUAAGGGUCCAGAGUCGAGGGUCGCCUUUGCUGUGCCCUCGCACCCCCUGGGGGCGGGCCUGGGGCAGUGGGUCCCAAGCCUGUCAGGAUUGGGCCCACGCUACACCACGAUAAACGCUGGGGCCACCCAGGGCAGCAGGUGCCGCGCCCCAACUCCAUGAGGCCCUUGCUUUUCUCAGCGGGAAGUGACAGAAAACAUUAUUUUUCUAGUCAACCCAUUCGGAGAUGGAAUAGAACAGACAGCAACAUUCGCAUGAAAAUGUCACGAUGAAAGCACUGAGGACUCGCAGGACACCAGCGGCACUGGGGAGGUGCUUUUGAGCUUGGUCCCCCGCACCCCGGGGGUCCCCGCCUUCUCCCUCUGCCGCAUGAGAAACACUGGGGCCCAGGUGUUCUCAGCUCAUUUGUCGCCUUCCCCACCAUCUUAGAAAGCGACUGAGGUCUUUUGAAUUCCAGGGGCUGGUCUGAACCUUCCAAGAGCACAGAUUUUACUGACCUUAAGGCUCGGUGAACCCACAGCUGACAAAAGGUCAGCCCCUGCCCGAUCGCGAUGGCGGCCACCACAAGGCGGGGCUGAGCCAGUGGGCAGGGGUGGAGUGGGAUGGAGCGGGACCCCCGACUGACAGCCUCCCGUCCUACCUGCGGUGAGCCUCCUAGGCCAGGCUGCUCGGGGCUGUCCUGCUGCUGGACCGCCGGGGGCAACGGCACUCACGUCCCACACCGUUGCGGGUGG